Molecule: long non-coding RNA, 611 nt
Filed under: Pan troglodytes (chimpanzee)
Lineage: Eukaryota; Metazoa; Chordata; Mammalia; Primates; Hominidae
Description: long non-coding RNA NONPTRT014640
Source: RNAcentral
AACUUUUCCCCACUCAGUGGUCCCCCUUGAUUGCUCCACAGCAAAUCCUCUUGAGACCCUCCCACAUUUUAUUUAUUCUUUCCCUACCUUUGGACGUUCCAUCCAUCAGUAGGGAAAGAAUAAAUAAAAUGUGGGAGGGUCUCAAGAGGAAUUGCUGCGCAACAAUCAAAAGCGACCACUGAGAAAAAAGAGGAUGCAGAAUGACAUACUUAGCAAGAGAGCAUUUGUGACAAUCUAAUUCACAGGUGAAACUUUCUUAUUAUUGGUAGGGACAGAAGUUGAUAUGCAAAUAUUUAGCUGGAGUGAUAAUGUAAAUUACAUAAUUUAAUAAAUACAUCCAAUAUUUAAGAUUCAGUGAGCAAAAGAUAGCACGAGAUAUAAAAUUACAAAAUUACUUCACGCCUCUAUCUUCGUGCUCCUUGUAAAUGAUAGCAAACUCGUUUGGGGAUGAUUAGUAUUAGUACUUCUUUAUACAUUUGGUAGAAUUCCACCGUGGAUCCACCUAGUUCUGGGAUUUUCUUUGUUGAAAGACUUUUUUUUUUUUUUUUAAAUUAUGUUAACAGUUUAGGGUGCAGCCUCUGACACCUCUUCUAUUAAUUUACAUACAUAAA